GAUGAACGCUGGCUGUGUGCCUAAUACAUGCAUGUCGAGCGAAGCACUUUUGUGCUUAGCGGCGAAUGGGUGAGUAACACGUACUUAACCUACCCUCAAGAUUGGGACAACACUUGGAAACGAGUGCUAAUACCAAAUACGUAUUUUUAUCGCAUGAUAGAUAUAUAAAAGGAGCUUCGGCUUCACUAGAGGAUGGGAGUGCGCUACAUUAGUUAGUUGGUAGGGUAAUGGCCUACCAAGACUAUGAUGUAUAGCGGGGCCGAGAGGCUGAUCCGCCACACUGGGACUGAGAUACGGCCCAGACUCCUACGGGAGGCAGCAGUAGGGAAUUUUCCACAGUGAACGAAAGUUUGAUGGAGCGACACAGCGUGCAGGAUGAAGGUCUUCGGAUUGUAAACUGCUGUUAUAAGAGAAGAAAAACCCUGGUAGGUAAUGACCAGGACUUGACGGUACCUUAUCAGAAAGCGACGGCUAACUAUGUGCCAGCAGCCGCGGUAAUACAUAGGUCGCAAGCGUUAUCCGGAAUUAUUGGGCGUAAAGAGUUCGUAGGUGGUUUUGUAAGUCUGAAGUUAAAUACCGGGGCUCAACCCCGGCCCGCUUUGGAUACUGCAAAACUAGAGUAAUAGAGAGGUUAGUGGAACUCCAAGUGAAGCGGUGGAAUGCGUAGAUAUUUGGAAGAACACCAAUGGCGAAGGCAACUAACUGGAUAUUAACUGACACUGAGGAACGAAAGCGUGGGGUAGCAAACAGG
RNAcentral lists this ribosomal RNA (751 nucleotides) under uncultured bacterium. RNAcentral describes it as "bacterial SSU rRNA". It matches the Rfam family "Bacterial small subunit ribosomal RNA", at positions 28 to 776 of the family's 1533-position model. The record is from RNAcentral.